This 953-nucleotide ribosomal RNA is filed under the name Pyrinioides aurea. RNAcentral describes it as "partial 16S rRNA". The record is from RNAcentral. Lineage: Eukaryota; Metazoa; Arthropoda; Insecta; Lepidoptera; Thyrididae.
AAAGAGAUAAUUAAUUAUGAAAGUUAUUGUAGCAAAAAUAUUUUUAAUAAUUAGUUUGAAAUGAAAUGUUAUUCGUUUUUAAAUAUAUCUAGUUUUUUUAGAAAAAAAUUUAAUUUUAUAUUUUUUUUUAUUUUAAAAAAUUAUUAAAAUAAUUUUUUAAAAUAAAAAAUAUAAUAAUUUAAGGGAUAAGCUUUAAAUUAAAUUGUUAUAAUAUUGCUUUUAAAAUUAAAAUUUUUAAAAUUUAUAUUGUUUUUAAAUUAUAAUUUUUUAUAAAUAAUUUUAUUAAAAUAAAGAUUUAAUUUAAAUUUAAUUUUUUAUAAAAAAUUAAUUUUUUAUGGGGAAAAAUUAAAAAUAAUGAUAAAAUUAGUAUAUAAAUUAAAUUAAUAUUUAAUAAAUUUAUUAAAAUUAAUUAAAAAGAAUUCGGCAAAAUUUUAUAUUCACUUGUUUAACAAAAACAUGUCUUUUUGAUAAUAAUUUAAAGUCUAAUCUGCCCACUGAUUUAUUGAGUAUAUUAAAGGGCUGCAGUAUAUUGACUGUACAAAGGUAGCAUAAUCAUUAGUCUCUUAAUUGGUGACUUGUAUGAAAGAUUGGAUGAGAUAUAAACUGUUUCUUAGUUAUUUAUAUAAUUUAAUUUUUUAAUUAAAAAGUUAAAAUAAUUUUAAAAGACGAGAAGACCCUAUAGAGUUUUAUAAAAUUAUUUAUUUAUAUUUAUAAAUAAUUAUAAAAAUAUAUAAUAGUUAGUUUUAUUUUAUUGGGGUGGUAGAAAAAUUAAAUUAACUUUUUUUUAAUAAUUACAAAAAUAAAUGAAUUAAUGAUCCAUAAAUUAUGAUUAUAAGAGAAAAUUCCCUUAGGGAUAACCGCGUAAUUUUUUUUUUUAGUUCAAAUAAAAAAAAAAGUUUGCGACCUCGAUGUUGGAUUAAGAUAAAAUUUAAAUGUAAAAGUUUAAAAUUUUG